AUUUUAGUGGCGGAAGGGUUAGUAAUGCAUGGGUAGCUUACCUGUAUCACAGGGAUAACGGUUGGAAACGACCGCUAAUACCUGAUAUGGCGCUUAAGGGUGACCUUAAUCGUUAAAGUGGGGGACCGAGCAAUCGGCCUUGCGGUUAGAGAAAGGCUCAUGUGAUAUCAGCUUGUUGGUGUGGUAAUGGCGCACCAAGGCUAAGACGUCUAGGCGGACUGAGAGGUUGACCGCCAACAUUGGAACUGAGACACUGUCCAAACUCCUACGGGAGGCUGCAGUCGAGAAUCUUUCGCAAUGGGCGCAAGCCUGACGAAGCGACUCUGAGUGAGCGAUGAAGGCCCUUGGGUUGUAAAGCUCUUUCGGUUGGGAACAAGAGAGACGGAUGAAUAAGUCGUCGAUUUGAGCAUACCAGCUAAAGAAGCACCGGCUAACUCCGUGCCAGCAGCUGCGGUAAUACGGAGGGUGCAAGCAUUAACCGGAUUUAUUGGGCGUAAAGGGCGCGUAGGCGGAAUUAUAAGUCAGAUGUGAAAUUCUGGUACUCAAUACCAGGACUGCAUUUGAAACUAUGAAUCUAGAGGGUAGGCGGAGAAAACGGAAUUCCACGUGUAGCGGUGAAAUGCGUAGAUAUGUGGAAGAACACCUGUGGCGAAAGCGGUUUUCUAGCUUACUUACUGACGCUGAGGCGCGAGAGCAAGGGGAGCAAACAGGAUUAGAUACCCUGGUAGUCCUUGCCGUAAACGAUGUAUACUUGAUGUAGUUGGGCUCAACCCCGACUGUGUCGUAGCUAACGCGAUAAGUAUACCGCCUGGGGAGUACGCCCGCAAGGGUGAAACUCAAAGAAAUUGACGGGGGCCCGCACAAGUAGUGGAGCAUGUGGUUUAAUUCGAUCCACGCGAAGAACCUUACCCAGGCUUGGCAUGUAGUGGACAGUCGUGGAAACACGAUCUUCCGCAAGGACCGCUACACAGGUGCUGCAUGGCUGUCGUCAGCUCGUGCCGUGAGGUGUUGGGUUAAGUCCCGCAACGAGCGCAACCCUUGUCAUUAGUUGCCAACACGUAAUGGUGGGAACUCUAGUGAGACUGCCGAGGUUAACUCGGAGGAAGGUGGGGAUGACGUCAAGUCCGCAUGGCCCUUAUGUCUGGGGCUACACACGUGCUACAAUGGCCGGUACAGAGGGUGGCAAGAUCGCAAGAUGGAGCAAAUCCCAGAAAGCCGGUCUCAGUUCGGAUUGAAGUCUGCAAUUUGACUUCAUGAAGUUGGAAUUACUAGUAAUGGCGUGUCAGCUAUAACGCCGUGAAUACGUUCUCGGGCCUUGUACACACCGCCCGUCACAUCACGGAAGUUGGUCUUACCCGAAGUCGCU
This 1366-nucleotide ribosomal RNA is filed under the name metagenome. RNAcentral describes it as "bacterial SSU rRNA". It matches the Rfam family "Bacterial small subunit ribosomal RNA", at positions 89 to 1431 of the family's 1533-position model. The record is from RNAcentral.